Molecule: ribosomal RNA, 534 nt
Filed under: uncultured Acidobacteriota bacterium
Lineage: Bacteria; Pseudomonadati; Acidobacteriota
Description: bacterial SSU rRNA
Rfam family: Bacterial small subunit ribosomal RNA
Source: RNAcentral
UGGGGAAUUUUUCGCAAUGGGGGCAACCCUGACGAAGCAACGCCGCGUGGAUGAUGAAGUAUCUCGGUACGUAAAAUCCUUUCGACAGGGAAGAAACCGCAAGGUUGACGGUACCUGUAGAAGAAGCCCCGGCUAACUCCGUGCCAGCAGCCGCGGUAAUACGGGGGGGGCUAGCGUUGUUCGGAAUUACUGGGCGUAAAGGGCGCGUAGGCGGUCUGCUAAGUUGGAUGUGAAAACUCUGGGCUUAACCCAGAGCCUGCAUUCAAUACUGACAGGCUAGAGUUCUGGAGGGGAUAGCGGAAUUCCUGGUGUAGCGGUGAAAUGCGUAGAUAUCAGGAGGAACACCGGUGGCGAAGGCGGCUAUCUGGACAGAGUCUGACGCUGAGGCGCGAAAGCUAGGGGAGCAAACAGGAUUAGAUACCCUGGUAGUCCUAGCCCUAAACGAUGGAUACUUGGUGUAACUGGGAUUGAAUCCAGUUGUGCCGAAGCUAACGCAUUAAGUAUCCCGCCUGGGGAGUACGGUCGCAAGGCUGA